CCUACGGGGGGCAGCAGUGGGGAAUAUUGGACAAUGGGGGGAACCCUGAUCCAGCCAUGCCGCGUGUGUGAAGAAGGCCCUCGCGUUGUAAAGCACUUUCAGUGAGGAAGAACGCCUGGUGGUUAAUACCCAUCAGGAAAGACAUCACUCACAGAAGAAGCACCGGCUAACUCCGUGCCAGCAGCCGCGGUAAUACGGAGGGUGCGAGCGUUAAUCGGAAUUACUGGGCGUAAAGCGCGCGUAGGUGGCUUGAUAAGCCGGUUGUGAAAGCCCCGGGCUCAACCUGGGAACGGCAUCCGGAACUGUCAAGCUAGAGUGCAGGAGAGGAAGGUAGAAUUCCCGGUGUAGCGGUGAAAUGCGUAGAGAUCGGGAGGAAUACCAGUGGCGAAGGCGGCCUUCUGGACUGACACUGACACUGAGGUGCGAAAGCGUGGGUAGCAAACAGGAUUAGAUACCCCGGUAGUC
This 465-nucleotide ribosomal RNA is filed under the name Vreelandella stevensii. Its description in RNAcentral is "partial 16S ribosomal RNA". It matches the Rfam family "Bacterial small subunit ribosomal RNA", at positions 338 to 795 of the family's 1533-position model. Lineage: Bacteria; Pseudomonadati; Pseudomonadota; Gammaproteobacteria; Oceanospirillales; Halomonadaceae. The record is from RNAcentral.